GAGUGCUGGGUUGGGCUUCCAGCUCCCUACAACGCAGAACAGUACUGGAGUUCGUGGAGCUGGAAGACUGCUGCCCGACUCUGGGCCCCGGGUAGGAAACAACAAUUUCAGACCUCCUGGGGUCUAUGCUAGGUAUAAGGUGUAUCCUUGUCCUCCAUCAAGUAGCAAAGAUAGACAUGUAAACAAAUUUUGACACUGUGAUGACUGCCACAAAAAGCAGCAUUAUGAGGUUGAAUGUAAAAGGAUAACAUUAGCGGCGGCGGGGGCCGGAGGAUGAAGGAAGGCUUCCUGAGGUAGGCGCUGGCGAAACUGAAGUUGGAGAGAGCAAGUGGCAUUUGCUGAAGUGCAUUUUCCGGUAGAAAACUCCAGUGGUCCCUCACCUGACUGAGUGGCGCAGUCAGAGAUAAAUGGAACAGAGUCUACAAAUAAACAUUUUAUAAAGAUGGUCCUUCAAUACAUAUUCUACAGCCCAGUUAAAAUGUGAGAGGCCAUGAUCUAUAGGCAGCCAUUUAUAAAGGUAGAUCGGGGCCGGGCACGGUGGCUCACGUCUGUAAUCCCGGCACUCUGGGAGGCCGAAGCGGGAGGAUCGCUUGAGCUCAGGAGUUCAAAACCAAUCUGGCCAACAUGGUGAGACCCCA
Molecule: long non-coding RNA, 638 nt
Filed under: Pongo abelii (Sumatran orangutan)
Lineage: Eukaryota; Metazoa; Chordata; Mammalia; Primates; Hominidae
Description: lincRNA
Source: RNAcentral